This 195-nucleotide small nucleolar RNA is filed under the name Dasypus novemcinctus (nine-banded armadillo). RNAcentral describes it as "Small nucleolar RNA SNORA73 family (ENSDNOG00000027010.1)". It matches the Rfam family "Small nucleolar RNA SNORA73 family". From Rfam's summary of the family: U17 (SNORA73A and SNORA73B) also known as E1 belongs to the H/ACA class of small nucleolar RNAs (snoRNAs). Lineage: Eukaryota; Metazoa; Chordata; Mammalia; Cingulata; Dasypodidae. The record is from RNAcentral.
ACACUGUUAAGAUUAUUGGUUAUUGUUUUAUAUAUUUUUUAAAAAGAGAAUAGAUAGGGCUCUGCCCUGUGAUGUACGAUUCCAUUCCACACGUUGGAGAUGAAGCCGGGCCUCGAACUUGCACCUACAUAUUCCUACAGCUUCUCAGAGUCCUAUGGACAAUGACUGAGGAGACAAGCCAUGCAGGAAACAGCU